UGGGAGGCCGAACGAGAAGGACGAAGCAAAAAAACUAUCUGAUAAACUGCCUGACCUUCUCAAAUCAUGCCACAUUCUUUUCCAUUGGUGCGCUUCUCUCUCGUAGCUGACCUACUUAUUUCUUCUCUCAUCAGAUCUUGGAGACGAUGAAUAAGCCCUGGGGCGGCAAAAAGAAAUGCUUGAGGAGGACACUUACCGGACCUUGGUAGAGUAGAGCAGUAACUCUUAUAUGUACAUAGAGUAUGGACAGCUUAUGACGAUCCUUCUCAGGUCUCAUUCAACGAGUGAUACACUCUCAUGUACAGAAGCAAAAGAGUCCAUGAUGUAUAUUGUGGUGCUACUCCUAUUUAUUGCGUAUGACUAUUUCUUGCUUCUCUGCUCUCUUCAUCUUGUUGUGCAUCUCAACUGCAGUUUAUACUGCUACUUUUGUUAGAGUUUAGGUGUAGUAUUGGCAGCCUUUUGGAUCUUGGUUGAGUAGAAUAUAGUAUUUGACAUGAACAAAAUGAUAAUUAUAUAAUGUUCUGUAAUAAUAUGUUUAUGUU
This 542-nucleotide long non-coding RNA is filed under the name Salvia miltiorrhiza (redroot sage). RNAcentral's name for it is "long non-coding RNA (SMIL_LNC011248)". The record is from RNAcentral. Lineage: Eukaryota; Viridiplantae; Streptophyta; Magnoliopsida; Lamiales; Lamiaceae.